RNAcentral lists this ribosomal RNA (938 nucleotides) under Huascaromusca vogelsangi. Its description in RNAcentral is "eukaryotic LSU rRNA". It matches the Rfam family "Eukaryotic large subunit ribosomal RNA", at positions 104 to 831 of the family's 3401-position model. Lineage: Eukaryota; Metazoa; Arthropoda; Insecta; Diptera; Calliphoridae. The record is from RNAcentral.
AGUUCAGCACUAAGUCACUUUGUCUUUAUGGCAAAUGUGAGAUGCAGUGUAUGGAAUGUCAAAUUUCUAGUAUGAGAAAUUAAUCGAUUUAAGUCCUUCUUAAAUGAGGCCAUUUACCCAAAGAGGGUGCCAGGCCCGUAUAAGAUUAAUGAUUACUAGAUGGCAUUUCCAAAGAGUCGUGUUGCUUGAUAGUGCAGCACUAAGUGGGUGGUAAACUCCAUCUAAAACUAAAUAURACCAUGAGACCGAUAGUAAACAAGUACCGUGAGGGAAAGUUGAAAAGAACUCUGAAUAGAGAGUUAAAUAGUACGUGAAACUGCUUAGAGGUUAAGCCCGAUGAACCUGAAUAUUCAUUUAGAAAAGUCAUCACUAUCAUUAGUUAAUAUGUACCCAAUCAUAUUUGUUGACUAGUGUGCAUUUUUUCUAUAAUGGACAUUGUGAUCUAUUAACUUAUAUUUAUCAUACGAUCAUUUAGCGCAAGUUUAUACGAAUUAUUUUGCUUGCAAUUUAACAUGAUAUAAAUGCUAUUGAUUCGAUAAAGUGUUACUAGAUAUAUUAUAUAUGGUGCUUAAAUAUAAUUUUUUUUUUUAAAAAAUAUAUUUUAUAAUAGCAUAUUAAUCAUUGAUUUUUAUGUUUAUUUAUAUGCACUUAUAUGAUCAACAAUGCAAAAGAUUCAGGAUACCUUCGGGACCCGUCUUGAAACACGGACCAAGGAGUCUAACAUAUUUGCAAGUUAUUGGGCAUAAAAGCCUAAUAGCGCAAUUAACGUAACUUCUAACAUACACAUAAAGGGAUUAGUUUAUAGCACUAUUUUAUUAUAGUCUAUUAAUUCAAUCCCGGGGCGUUCUAUUAGUUAUGUAUAAUAAUAUUUAUAUUAUUUAUACCUCUAACUAGAGCGUACCUUGAGCAUAUAUGCUAUGACCCGAAAGAUGGUGAAC